RNAcentral lists this ribosomal RNA (129 nucleotides) under Coniochaeta sp. NJR102-22. RNAcentral's name for it is "5.8S ribosomal RNA". Lineage: Eukaryota; Fungi; Ascomycota; Sordariomycetes; Coniochaetales; Coniochaetaceae. The record is from RNAcentral.
AUGCCUGUUCGAGCGUCAUUUCAACCCUCAAGCCCUGCUUGGUGUUGGGGCCCUACGGCUGCCGUAGGCCCUGAAAGGAAGUGGCGGGCUCGCUACAACUCCGAGCGUAGUAAUUCAUUAUCUCGCUAG